RNAcentral lists this ribosomal RNA (240 nucleotides) under uncultured Lactobacillus sp. Its description in RNAcentral is "partial 16S ribosomal RNA". It matches the Rfam family "Bacterial small subunit ribosomal RNA", at positions 122 to 355 of the family's 1533-position model. Lineage: Bacteria; Bacillati; Bacillota; Bacilli; Lactobacillales; Lactobacillaceae. The record is from RNAcentral.
UAACCUGCCCAAGAGAUCGGGAUAACACCUGGAAACAGAUGCUAAUACCGGAUAACAACAGAUGAUGCCUAUCAACUGUUUAAAAGAUGGUUCUGCUAUCACUCUUGGAUGGACCUGCGGUGCAUUAGCUAGUUGGCAGGGUAACGGCCUACCAAGGCGAUGAUGCAUAGCCGAGUUGAGAGACUGAUCGGCCACAUUGGGACUGAGACACGGCCCAAACUCCUACGGGAGGCAGCNGUC